UGGUGUUUUGAGCCCUCACCGGCGCCUUCCAGGCAGCGGCUGCCUGGAAGGCGCCGGAAGGUGGUCCCGCCCCCCAAAACUCUGAUCCAAUCAAUGCGCUACCCCCACUUGGAGCGGAGCGCAUAUUCAAAUCCACUUUUUGGAGCGCAUUGCAUAUUCAAACCCGCGCAUUUGGAGCCAAACCCACUUGGAGCGCAUUUGGAGCGCAUUUAACCCACUUGGUUCAACAAUUUCAAAGGCGAAGCCAAGGACCUGUGCUCCUCCGUCGGUGCUCUGGCUGCCAGGAGCAUCGAAUUUAAAGAAGUGGCCAUGCUGCCGGCAUCAGACCCCACUGUGGCCACAGGGAGAGCCACGGAGUUCAAACAACAGCUCCAGCACCUCGCCAACCAGGUGAGGU
Pseudoliparis swirei is the source of this 397-nucleotide long non-coding RNA. RefSeq lists it as uncharacterized. The transcript has 3 exons. The record is from RefSeq and is a predicted model, not a curated record. Lineage: Eukaryota; Metazoa; Chordata; Actinopteri; Perciformes; Liparidae.